CCUACGGGUGGCAGCAGUGGGGAAUAUUGCACAAUGGGGGAAACCCUGAUGCAGCGACGCCGCGUGAGUGAAGAAGUAUCUCGGUACGUAAAGCUCUAUCAGCAGGGAAGAAAAUGACGGUACCUGACUAAGAAGCCCCGGCUAACUACGUGCCAGCAGCCGCGGUAAUACGUAGGGGGCAAGCGUUAUCCGGAUUUACCGGGGGUAAAGGGAGCGUAGACGGGAGCACAAGUCUGGAGUGAAAUCCCGGGGCCUAACCCCGGAACUGCUUUUGAAACUGUGCGGCUGGAGUGAAGGAGGGGUAAGCGGAAUUCCUAGUGUAGCGGUGAAAUGCGUAGAUAUUAGGAGGAACACCGGUGGCGAAGGCGGCUUACUGGACUGUAACUGACGUUGAGGCUCGAAAGCGUGGGGAGCAAACAGGAUUAGAUACCCUGGUAGUC
RNAcentral lists this ribosomal RNA (440 nucleotides) under uncultured bacterium. RNAcentral describes it as "partial 16S ribosomal RNA". It matches the Rfam family "Bacterial small subunit ribosomal RNA", at positions 338 to 795 of the family's 1533-position model. The record is from RNAcentral.